UCUCCGUUGGUGAACCAGCGGAGGGAUCAUUACAGGACUCGCAAGACUCCUACAACCCUGUGAACUUAACUAUAAGCACGUUGCUUCGGCGGGUGUCUCGGAGGGGGUUCUCCCUCCCCGAGACGCUAAACCCGCCGGCAGCCUACUAUACUCUGUCUCUUUGCGUUGGCAUCUCGAGUACAAUCAAACAAGUUGAAACUUUCAACAACGGAUCUCUUGGUCCUG
This 225-nucleotide unclassified non-coding RNA is filed under the name plant metagenome. Its description in RNAcentral is "partial contains small subunit ribosomal RNA, internal transcribed spacer 1, and 5.8S ribosomal RNA". The record is from RNAcentral.